GCGUGUGUGAAGAAGCCUUCGGGUUGUAAAGCACUUUCAGUAGGGAGGAAGGUAGUGUAGUUAACACCUGCAUUAUUUGACGUUACCUACAGAAGAAGCACCGGCUAACUCCGUGCCAGCAGCCGCGGUAAUACGGAGGGUGCGAGCGUUAAUCGGAAUUACUGGGCGUAAAGCGCAUGCAGGCGGCCUGUUAAGUCAGAUGUGAAAGCCCGGGGCGUUAACCUCCGGAAUUGCAUUUGAAACUGGCAGGCUAGAGUCUUGUAGAGGGGGGUUAGGAAUUUCAGGUGUAGCGGUGAAAUGCGUAGAGAUCUGAAGGAAUACCAGUGGCGAAGGCGGCCCCCUCGGACAAAGACUGACGCUCAGAUGCGAAAGCGUGGGGAGCAAACAGGAUUAGAUACCCUGGUAG
RNAcentral lists this ribosomal RNA (406 nucleotides) under uncultured bacterium. Its description in RNAcentral is "bacterial SSU rRNA". It matches the Rfam family "Bacterial small subunit ribosomal RNA", at positions 399 to 793 of the family's 1533-position model. The record is from RNAcentral.